AAAACAUUUUAUAGAAAUGUCAGGAGUAAUUGUGGAGUUCGCCAGCAGGGGUAAUAUGGCGCUUAUCGUACUCCAGGGGGCUUUGCGUCAGUUCGGUCCGCUUUGCGGUUUUCCUCUUUCUGCUGAGCGAAAUGAGAAAACGGAUGCAGAGUUUGCCCUAUCUGAUUUAUUUCUCCUGUUUGCAAGGUGUACCAAGAAUUCAGCCCGGUAGUUGGGAAGAACUUAAACAGGAGUUUUAUGGCUCUUGAUCAUCACAGUCCACAGUUGAUUCAGAUCUUCGGGGCAAAGAGAGGUCUCACAGUGCAGUGAUCUUCAACAAACCAAGACGUUGCUGACAUGAGAUGUGCUGUUGUAUGGGGGCUUCCAGUAAUACUUGGUGAUGAACCAACUGAGUUCUUCAAAGCAUGUUUUGCUUACUGCUGAUGAGGAUUCAUACCAACAUGUUAAAGUUGGAAUCCUAAGCAAAGUAAGUGAAGAUGUUCCCCUGUCCUUUCACCUCCAUCCAUCCUCUGUAGGAAUCAUCUUGGAGGGAAAUGUUGCAAUGGACAAUUUGGAAAACCUGACUCAGGCCAUGUGCCUGGUGUUUGGGUUGACUUAUGCCCUGCAUCUUGACUAUCAAAAGUGCAUGACAAAGACCUUCCAUUUUAUUCGGCAGGUGAUGUUAUGUUUGGGUAAGAAGGCAAAAAAAAAAGGCUGAGUUUUAGCACUGUCAGCUUGCUAUUUAAAACAUACAUGUCUCAAUUUUAUGUACACUGUACAUGUUAAGAGUCUAACAAAUGUUUACACCUGGCAUAGUUAUACAAUACCAGAAUACAUAUUAUGCCUGUUCAGAGUUUUGGAAAUGUUUAUGCAGUAUUCAGUGUACAAAUAUAUAUUUGGCCUAUUCAGGGUCUGUCAAGUAUGUAAUAAUGCAAUGUAGAAGAAAAAACAUUUUGUUUUUGCUACUCUUUUAUAAAGUGAAUUAAAUUUAAAUAAAUCCCA
Tachysurus fulvidraco (yellow catfish) is the source of this 981-nucleotide long non-coding RNA. RefSeq lists it as uncharacterized. The transcript has 4 exons. NCBI's taxonomy places the organism in Eukaryota, Metazoa, Chordata, Actinopteri, Siluriformes, Bagridae. The record is from RefSeq and is a predicted model, not a curated record.